Molecule: ribosomal RNA, 253 nt
Filed under: uncultured bacterium
Lineage: Bacteria
Description: partial 16S ribosomal RNA
Rfam family: Bacterial small subunit ribosomal RNA
Source: RNAcentral
UACGUAGGGUGCGAGCGUUGUCCGGAAUUACUGGGCGUAAAGAGCUCGUAGGUGGUUUGUCGCGUUGUUCGUGAAAACUCACAACUCAAUUGUGGGCGUGCGGGCGAUACGGGCAGACUGGAAUACUGCAGGGGAGACUGGAAUUCCUGGUGUAGCGGUGAAAUGCGCAGAUAUCAGGAGGAACACCGGUGGCGAAGGCGGUGGUCUGGGCCGGCACUGACGCUGAGGAGCGAAAGUGUGGGGAGCGAACAGG